RNAcentral lists this ribosomal RNA (990 nucleotides) under Campylobacter jejuni Cj2. RNAcentral describes it as "bacterial LSU rRNA". It matches the Rfam family "Bacterial large subunit ribosomal RNA", at positions 876 to 1850 of the family's 2925-position model. The record is from RNAcentral. Lineage: Bacteria; Pseudomonadati; Campylobacterota; Epsilonproteobacteria; Campylobacterales; Campylobacteraceae.
AUAGCGUUGUGUCGUAAUAUAAGGGGGUAGAGCACUGAAUGGGCUAGGGCAUACACCAAUGUACCAAACCCUAUCAAACUCCGAAUACCUUAUAUGUAAUCACAGCAGUCAGGCGGCGAGUGAUAAAAUCCGUCGUCAAGAGGGAAACAACCCAGACUACCAGCUAAGGUCCCUAAAUCUUACUUAAGUGGAAAACGAUGUGAAGUUACUUAAACAACCAGGAGGUUGGCUUAGAAGCAGCCAUCCUUUAAAGAAAGCGUAAUAGCUCACUGGUCUAGUGAUUUUGCGCGGAAAAUAUAACGGGGCUAAAGUAAGUACCGAAGCUGUAGACUUAGUUUACUAAGUGGUAGGAGAGCGUUCUAUUUGCGUCGAAGGUAUACCGGUAAGGAGUGCUGGAGCGAAUAGAAGUGAGCAUGCAGGCAUGAGUAGCGAUAAUUAAUGUGAGAAUCAUUAACGCCGUAAACCCAAGGUUUCCUACGCGAUGCUCGUCAUCGUAGGGUUAGUCGGGUCCUAAGUCGAGUCCGAAAGGGGUAGACGAUGGCAAAUUGGUUAAUAUUCCAAUACCAACAUUAGUGUGCGAUGGAAGGACGCUUAGGGCUAAGGGGGCUAGCGGAUGGAAGUGCUAGUCUAAGGUCGUAGGAGGUUAUACAGGCAAAUCCGUAUAACAAUACUCCGAGAACUGAAAGGCUUUUUGAAGUCUUCGGAUGGAUAGAAGAACCCCUGAUGCCGUCGAGCCAAGAAAAGUUUCUAAGUUUAGCUAAUGUUGCCCGUACCGUAAACCGACACAGGUGGGUGGGAUGAGUAUUCUAAGGCGCGUGGAAGAACUCUCUUUAAGGAACUCUGCAAAAUAGCACCGUAUCUUCGGUAUAAGGUGUGGUUAGCUUUGUAUUAGGAUUUACUCCGAAAGCAAGGAAACUUACAACAAAGAGUCCCUCCCGACUGUUUACCAAAAACACAGCACUCUGCUAACUCGUAAGAGGAUGUAUAGGG